Molecule: long non-coding RNA, 3340 nt
Filed under: Sus scrofa (pig)
Lineage: Eukaryota; Metazoa; Chordata; Mammalia; Artiodactyla; Suidae
Description: lncRNA (ENSSSCG00000060078.1)
Source: RNAcentral
UUUUCUAUUACUUGCUGCACCUGAAAGCUUCCUGGAUGACAGAAUCUGUGAUAUAGACCCUAAAGUCUCUAUGUCACCUUCCCAUCAGCUGUCAGGAUGUUGAUGAACUCUGACAAGGUCAUCUUUAAGUGAGCACUUUGGGAGCCUUGGAGAUGUUAUAUAAAGUGUUAAAUAACUUACAGAUUAUUCAGCUCACCAUUGAAGGAUUGACCAGUCGUCUUAGAAAAGUAACUAAAAUCUGCUUGUAGUCAAAGGCCCAACUAUGCAAAAGUUGGGUGAUUGGAAAGUUGUUCCUUGUAUAUUUUCUGUCAAAUAUUUCAGAUUUAUAUUAAUAUAAAUUUCAAUUUAUGUUCAUUGUGACAUUAGCCUUGAGUAAAGCAAGCCUAGAAAGUGAUACAAUCCGUUCGCUAAACAUGUUGAAUCAAAAGGCAACAAGCUUCUUCCAUUAGGGAAUUCACAUCAACCUCUUGGUCCUACCCAGGUUCUAAAGUAGUUCAUAAAUAGACAAGAGGUAGGUGGAGCAUGAAAUACUAUCUUUAUUACUAAUAUGGCUGAAAUUAGAGAAUGAGGGUUAUAACUGUAAAAGAGGGCUUCCUUACACCAAACCCCAUCAUCAUACAGACAUACCCAUCCAGCCACAGACAGCACUGGACCCAAACUGUUUCUACAGCCUGCUCUUGCAAAACUUAGGGAAAUGGGGCUAAAUGCAUGCUUUCUGUGAGCAGCUUAUUCUCAAAGAGAAGAGAAAGUGCUACUCAUGCUCACUUCCUUGUUCCAAACUCAAUCAAGUAAUCCCACUCUAUCAAUCCGCUAGGAGACCGAACACAGAAAGUUUAACCAGGAGAAGCUUAACUAAUUAAGCUGUAACAGUGAAAGACAAUUGGCCCUCUGUACCUGUGGGUCCCACAUCCCUCGAUUUAACAAACUGCGAAUCAAAUUGCAAGGUGUUGAAUCUUCAGAUGCAGAAUCCUCAGUAAAAUCCAGGGGUACUGAGGACAGAUUGUGUUACUCCAUUUUACAUAAGAGACUUCAGCACCUGCAGAUUUUGUAUCCUCAUGGGGCUGGGGCAGGUUGGGGGAGACUUAGAACCAAUUCCUUGCUCAGGCAGAGGGAUGAUUGCACAUUAAGAGAACUCUCCACAGACCCCUAGGGCUGGGGCAGAGGACCCAAGGAAAAACAGACUUGGAAGAGGGUCCCCCUCUGACAUUCAUUCCUCUUUGGAGAAGGUGCUGUUGCAGACAACCACUGGAUAGAUGGUGAGAAAGUUUAGCUGGGUUGCCUGUGCCAUGACUGGUUUAGAAUCAUCUGAAAGGAGGGAAUGACCACCUGAACAUAGGCAAGCCAAGGCUGGUGGGUGGUCAGGCCAGGGACUGUGUGUGGUGGGGGCAGGGGAAUUGCUACAGCAUGCAGCCAGAAGCUUACGGUGUCCCUCUUAGGACUGCAGCAAGAUGAUCACUAGAAAUCCUGGGCUAGGGCUGCAAGGUAGUUGAAGGACUGUGCAUUCUGGGUGUGUAAGGGGAGGAUGAACUUGGGGCUGGGAAGCAGCAAGUUGAUAACUAGCUCGAUCAACCUUUGCCAACUCAAUUUUCAUGUGCACCAUUCUGUGUACAUUUCAAUGCCUGUACAACAAAAGUAACUAUUCUAGCAAGAAACAGCUAGCCUUCUGGUAAGUGAAGCUCUUGUCCUUCCCCUAAAUAAGACACAAAGCCCUAACAGUCAUGGAUUCCAUUGCUGCCUACAUUCAUUACUCCUCAAAUGGAGUCAUGGUCUCACUGAAUUAGUUAACUGAGAAGCUGACCUCUACCGACUUCUACAAGUUAAAAAUGGGAAGGACAAGGUUAGAAUCCAAAAAUUUAAGUAGACACAUACAUAUAACAAAACAUGCAAAGCCACCACAGCCCUGGUUUCUACAGCUGUUCAUGAGGUCAUAGUUGCUAUUUAUAGCUUUUCCUUUUCCUCACCUUGUUCUUAUUUUCCUUGCCCACAGCCAGAACCCACGGCUCUAGAUUCUUUACCUGGUGGAGUGAUCCAAUUCUUCCUUUCCAAAGGGUAUUACUCCUCAGUCAGCUUGCCUUUUUCUGGUUCUUGUCUGGGCUUUUCUUUGUCUUGAAUGACAUUUCUCUGUAGACCCAGCAAACGGUCAGUGAACAAAUUUCCUCUGCUCAGACUAGUGAGGAGAUGCAAAAUAUUCAGUAACAGCAUUUUUUUUUUUUUUUUGGCUGCAGCUGUGGCAAAUGGAAAUUCUCAGGCUAGGGAUCAAACCUGUGUUGCAGCUGAGACUUGCACCACAGCUGUAGCAAUGUUGGAUCCUUAACCUGGUGUGCUACAAAGAACUUGCCAGUAACAGCCUUCUGAGAUAAUACCACCCUGUCUGUGGGUUUUGCCCUGGCCUGCAGUACCAUACCACCUGCCAACCCUCAGCCCUCGGAGCCAGUGCUGAAUAUGGGAGAGGCAGUAUAACAGACCACAAGGUUAAUAUGAUGGUGGCUUUCUCCCGCAGAAGGCCUCAAUUAAUUACCUUAGUAGUUUUAAGUGGGGCCGUGGAAAAGACAGAUGAAAUGUCCAAGUCCCUUUCUAAUCUUAUUCCCGUGGGACUGCAAACCCCACCCAUUGGGGAUUUACCUGCCAGUCCCAGGGCUAUUAAUAUAUUCCCCUGUGGGUUAAUAGGAUAUUAUCAACAUAAUGAAAGAAAAAGUUAUUCCUCAUAGUAGACAGCAGCAUGAGGGUCCCACAAGCUAGCAGGCAGGCCCCUUGGGAUUAACCCUACAACCUUCUGCUCCCCCUCCUUAUUUCCUGACAUUUCAGUGCUCCCAGGAAUUUCCUUGACCCUCUGGUUGGCUUGACAAUUGUUUGCCCGCCCCCCACAGACCUACAAGCCUUGUGGUUGCCCAGCUUUGAGACAAAAGAGCCUGGAGACAUCAAUGACUUAUUAUACAGGAGAACUCACACAUUUGAAGUAGAUCCUGGAAUGACACCUUCACCAUACACGGCAGAGAGCAGGCAGGACGGGCAACAAUCUGCUACCCCAGGGCGAAGAGGUUGCCAUUUAUAGGGAUAAUUGACGUCAGGUCGAGUCAUCAAUUACCAGGGAGACCAGCAGCUAAGGCAGGGGGCAAGCAUGUACGCAGUUACUAAUUAAGCCCUAUAAUUAAGAGGAUUGGAUAGUCAUGUGAGUGAAUCAGGGCCUUGCUCAGUGGGUUAAGGAUCCGGCGUUGCCAUGAGCUGUGGUAUAGGUUGCAGACAUGGCUCAGAUCCUGAGUUGCUGAGGCUCCUGGCAUAGGAGGCAGCAACAGCUCUGAUUAGACCCCUAGUCUGGAAACUUCCAUAUACCGCAGGUGGG